RNAcentral lists this ribosomal RNA (1557 nucleotides) under Kyrpidia spormannii. RNAcentral describes it as "bacterial SSU rRNA". It matches the Rfam family "Bacterial small subunit ribosomal RNA". Lineage: Bacteria; Bacillati; Bacillota; Bacilli; Caryophanales; Alicyclobacillaceae. The record is from RNAcentral.
AAUCUUUUCACGGAGAGUUUGAUCCUGGCUCAGGACGAACGCUGGCGGCGUGCCUAAUACAUGCAAGUCGAGCGGGUCGCCUCGGGGCUUGCCCCGGGGAGGCCAGCGGCGGACGGGUGAGUAACGCGUGGGCAACCUGUCCGGCAGACCGGGACAACGCCUGGAAACGGGCGCUAAUUCCGGAUAGGCGCAAAGGGCGCAUGCUUUUUGCGGGAAAGGGGAAACCCGCUGUCGGGUGGGCCCGCGUCGCAUUAGCUGGUUGGUGGGGUAACGGCUCACCAAGGCGACGAUGCGUAGCCGGCCUGAGAGGGUGGGCGGCCACACUGGGACUGAGACACGGCCCAGACUCCUACGGGAGGCAGCAGUAGGGAAUCUUCCGCAAUGGGCGAAAGCCUGACGGAGCGACGCCGCGUGAGGGAAGAAGGCCUUCGGGUUGUAAACCUCUGGCUUUGGGGACGAGGGCACCGAGGGGACUCGGUGAGGGACGGUACCCAAGGAGGAAGCCCCGGCAAACUACGUGCCAGCAGCCGCGGUAAGACGUAGGGGGCGAGCGUUGUCCGGAAUCACUGGGCGUAAAGGGCGCGCAGGCGGCGAUGCACGUCCGAGGUGAAAGGCAGCGGCUCAACCGCUGAGGGGCCUCGGAUACGGCAUGGCUUGAGGGUCGGAGAGGCAAGGGGAAUUCCUGGUGUAGCGGUGAAAUGCGUAGAGAUCAGGAGGAAUACCGGUGGCGAAGGCGCCUUGCUGGACGACACCUGACGCUGAGGCGCGAAAGCGUGGGGAGCGAACAGGAUUAGAUACCCUGGUAGUCCACGCCGUAAACGAUGAGUGCUAGGUGUGGGUGGGGAUGCCCAUCCGUGCCGAAGGAAACCCAAUAAGCACUCCGCCUGGGGAGUACGGCCGCAAGGCUGAAACUCAAAGGAAUUGACGGGGGCCCGCACAAGCGGUGGAGCAUGUGGUUUAAUUCGAAGCAACGCGAAGAACCUUACCAGGGCUUGACAUCCCUCUGACACCUUCAGAGAUGAGGGGUUUCCUUCGGGGACAGAGGAGACAGGUGGUGCAUGGUUGUCGUCAGCUCGUGUCGUGAGAUGUUGGGUUAAGUCCCGCAACGAGCGCAACCCUUGCUCUGUGUUGCCAGCACGAGAGGUGGGCACUCACAGGGGACUGCCGGCGAGGAGCCGGAGGAAGGCGGGGAUGACGUCAAAUCAUCAUGCCCCAUAUGUCCUGGGCUACACACGUGCUACAAUGGGCGGUACAACGGGGAGCGAAGGGGCGACCUGGAGCGAAUCCCUGAAAGCCGUUCGUAGUUCGGAUUGCAGGCUGCAACUCGCCUGCAUGAAGGCGGAAUCGCUAGUAAUCGCGGAUCAGCAUGCCGCGGUGAAUCCGUUCCCGGGCCUUGUACACACCGCCCGUCACACCACGAGAGUCGGCAACACCCGAAGUCGGUGGGGCAACCGUCCGAGAGGGCGGAGCCAGCCGCCGAAGGUGGGGUCGAUGAUUGGGGUGAAGUCGUAACAAGGUAGCCGUAUCGGAAGGUGCGGCUGGAUCACCUCCUUUCUA